UUGACGGGGCCCGCACAAGCAGCGGAGCGUGUGGUUUAAUUCGAGGCUACGCGAAGAACCUUACCUGGGUUUUGACAUAUGGGUGGUAGGGAACCGAAAGGGACCGACCUUCGGGAGCCCAUACAGGUGCUGCAUGGCUGUCGUCAGCUCGUGCCGUGAGAUGUUGGGUUAAGUCCCGCAACGAGCGCAACCCUUGCCAUUAGUUGCUACGAAAGGGCACUCUAAUGGGACUGUCGGUGACAAACCGGAGGAAGGUGGGGAUGACGUCAAGUCCUCAUGGCCCUUAUAGGUGGGGCUACACACGUCAUACAAUGGCCGGUACAGAGGGUAGCCAACCCGCGAGGGGGAGCCAAUCCCACAAAGCCGGUCGUAGUCCGGAUCGCAGUCUGCAACUCGACUGCGUGAAGUCGGAAUCGCUAGUAAUCGCGGAUCAGCAUGUCGCGGUGAAUACGUUCCCGGGUCUU
RNAcentral lists this ribosomal RNA (464 nucleotides) under uncultured Allobrachymonas sp. RNAcentral describes it as "bacterial SSU rRNA". It matches the Rfam family "Bacterial small subunit ribosomal RNA", at positions 910 to 1382 of the family's 1533-position model. Lineage: Bacteria; Pseudomonadati; Pseudomonadota; Betaproteobacteria; Burkholderiales; Comamonadaceae. The record is from RNAcentral.